RNAcentral lists this ribosomal RNA (498 nucleotides) under Alabasta militaris. RNAcentral describes it as "SSU rRNA". It matches the Rfam family "Eukaryotic small subunit ribosomal RNA", at positions 973 to 1469 of the family's 1831-position model. Lineage: Eukaryota; Tubulinea; Elardia; Arcellinida; Hyalospheniidae. The record is from RNAcentral.
UUCAUCAAGAACGAAAGUGCGGGCGCGAAGAUGAUCAGAUACCGUCGUAGUCGCAACUAUAAACUUUGUCGCCCAAGGGGUAGUGGUAGUUACAUGAUGACACCUCUAUAACUUUGUGAGAAAUCAUAAGUAUUUGGACUCUGGGGGAAGUAUGGUCGCAAGGCUGAAACUUAAAGGAAUUGACGGAAGGGCACCACCAGGAGUGGAACCUGCGGCUUAAUUUGACUCAACACGGGGAAACUUACCAGGUCCAGACACAAUAAGGAUUGACAGAUUGAUAGCUCUUUCUUGAUUUUGUGGAAAGUGGUGCAUGGCCGUUUUUAGUUGGUGGAUUGAUUUGUCUGGUUAAUUCCGUUAACGAACGAGACCUAAACCUACUAACUAGUUAAUGGUAACUUGGACUCUUUUUAUAAAGUGACCUUAUAUUUAUCCAAACUUCUUAGAGGGACUCUUUAUACUUAGUGAAUGGAAGUUUUAGGCAACAACAGGUCUGUGAUG